Molecule: ribosomal RNA, 125 nt
Filed under: Spiridens muelleri
Lineage: Eukaryota; Viridiplantae; Streptophyta; Bryopsida; Hypnodendrales; Spiridentaceae
Description: partial 26S ribosomal RNA
Rfam family: Eukaryotic large subunit ribosomal RNA
Source: RNAcentral
CGACCUCUGAUCGGAAAAGAUCACCCGCUGAGUUUAAGCAUAUCACUAAGCGGAGGAAAAGAAACUAACGAGGAUUUCCCUAGUAACGGCGAGCGAACCGGAAAGAGCCCAGCUUGGAAAAUCUU